RNAcentral lists this ribosomal RNA (253 nucleotides) under uncultured bacterium. Its description in RNAcentral is "partial 16S ribosomal RNA". It matches the Rfam family "Bacterial small subunit ribosomal RNA", at positions 524 to 776 of the family's 1533-position model. The record is from RNAcentral.
UACGUAGGUGGCAAGCGUUGUUCGGAAUUAUUGGGCGUAAAGGGCGCGUAGGCGGUCUUGUAAGUCAGCUGUGAAAGCCCGGGGCUCAACCCCGGAGGGUCGGCUGAUACUGCAGGACUGGAGUACGGAAGAGGUAGCUGGAAUUCCCGGUGUAGCGGUGAAAUGCGUAGAUAUCAGGAGGAACACCUGUGGCGAAAGCGGCUCACUGGACCACAACUGACGCUGAGGCGCGAAAGCUAGGGGAGCAAACAGG